AAAGACAAUUUUUAAAACCAAAGACUCCAAAAUCUUUAUGGAACUAAUGAGAGAUCUAGAGAGAUGAGAACUUACUGCCUAAGGCCUUGGCUAACGUAUUCGUAUGAGCUAAGGACAGCGUGGUGAGUUCCGGUUCCCAUAGGAGCUUGGAAGACAGAGUCAACCAUACCCUUGCCUCUGGUGAUGUCUUGUUGAUCAUCAGAAGUGUCGUAGGCAAGACCUCUCCAUCUGUCUCCAUCGGUUUGUUUGUCUUCUUUCACAGCCAACACCUUGAAUGAUCCGUUGCUCUUCUUGUUGCUCUGUGCGAAUCUCGACACAGUUACAACUUUCUUUCCCAAGAAGGUUGAAGCUGGGGCUGAUACAGCUCCUGAUCCUGACCCGUUCAAGCUCAAC
RNAcentral lists this small RNA (393 nucleotides) under Arabidopsis thaliana (thale cress). RNAcentral describes it as "ATSL123330". The record is from RNAcentral. Lineage: Eukaryota; Viridiplantae; Streptophyta; Magnoliopsida; Brassicales; Brassicaceae.